CAUUGCCCUCAGUCCUCAACAGGAUUUCUCUAGCACUGAAGCCUGACCAUAAUACUCAAUUGCAGGUCUGCUCCACAUAAAACUAUGUAACUAGAGUACUUCCUCCUGUGCUGGUUCCAAGACACAGCGAAUAUAAUCCUCAGCACAGCCUCUUAGCUCAGUUCCGUAACUUAGGACAAAAUGAGCCUCACAUGCCACUCAACGCCACUUUUCCAGAUUCUUUCCAGCAACCCAACAGCCACCCGUUUCCUCACUCUCCCAA
This 262-nucleotide small RNA is filed under the name Pan troglodytes (chimpanzee). RNAcentral's name for it is "processed transcript". The record is from RNAcentral. Lineage: Eukaryota; Metazoa; Chordata; Mammalia; Primates; Hominidae. RNAcentral also lists the same sequence under 1 other name.